RNAcentral lists this ribosomal RNA (505 nucleotides) under uncultured Alteromonas sp. RNAcentral's name for it is "bacterial SSU rRNA". It matches the Rfam family "Bacterial small subunit ribosomal RNA", at positions 68 to 570 of the family's 1533-position model. Lineage: Bacteria; Pseudomonadati; Pseudomonadota; Gammaproteobacteria; Alteromonadales; Alteromonadaceae. The record is from RNAcentral.
GGUAACAUUUCUAGCUUGCUAGAAGAUGACGAGUGGCGGACGGGUGAGUAAUGCUUGGGAACUUGCCUUUGCGAGGGGGAUAACAGUUGGAAACGACUGCUAAUACCGCAUAAUGUCUUCGGACCAAACGGGGCUUCGGCUCCGGCGCAAAGAGAGGCCCAAGUGAGAUUAGCUAGUUGGUAAGGUAACGGCUUACCAAGGCGACGAUCUCUAGCUGUUCUGAGAGGAAGAUCAGCCACACUGGGACUGAGACACGGCCCAGACUCCUACGGGAGGCAGCAGUGGGGAAUAUUGCACAAUGGGGGAAACCCUGAUGCAGCCAUGCCGCGUGUGUGAAGAAGGCCUUCGGGUUGUAAAGCACUUUCAGUUGUGAGGAAAAGUUAGUAGUUAAUACCUGCUAGCCGUGACGUUAACAACAGAAGAAGCACCGGCUAACUCCGUGCCAGCAGCCGCGGUAAUACGGAGGGUGCGAGCGUUAAUCGGAAUUACUGGGCGUAAAGCGCAC